UGCGCGAAUCCGGUGUAGAACCACAUGCCCUCGAAGCAGACAUAGAAGGUGAUCAGGUCGCGGAGCAGCGCACGGUCGGCUUCCGGCGUGCCGGUCUUGAAGUCCGGGUCUUCCAGAUUCUGGGUGUGCUUGAGCGCCCACGCCGCCUNGUGAUCGAAGGCACCUCGCGAUACAUGUUGAACAGCUCGCCCUCAUCGAGGCCGAGGCUUUCCACGAUGUACUGGAAGGUGUGGGUGUGGGUCGCUUCCUCGCACGCCCGCCGCAGCAGGUACUUGCCGGACUCCGGGAUGGGCCGGGGG
This 299-nucleotide unclassified non-coding RNA is filed under the name Hevea brasiliensis (rubber tree). The record is from RNAcentral. Lineage: Eukaryota; Viridiplantae; Streptophyta; Magnoliopsida; Malpighiales; Euphorbiaceae.